Molecule: ribosomal RNA, 253 nt
Filed under: uncultured bacterium
Lineage: Bacteria
Description: partial 16S ribosomal RNA
Rfam family: Bacterial small subunit ribosomal RNA
Source: RNAcentral
UACGAAGGGAGCUAGCGUUGUUCGGAAUUACUGGGCGUAAAGGGCGCGUAGGCGGUUUAGUAAGUCAGAUGUGAAAGCCCCGGGCUUAACCUGGGAACAGCAUUUGAUACUGCUAGACUAGAGAUCGAAAGAGGAGAGUGGAAUUGCGAGUGUAGAGGUGAAAUUCGUAGAUAUUCGCAGGAAAACCGGGGGCGAAGGCGACUCUCUGGUUCGAUACUGACUCUAAGUCGCGAAAGCGGGGGGAGCACACAGG